GAAAGAGCAGCCAGUGCUUUCAAUUGCUGAGCCAACUCUCCAGCCCUGGAAUAAAGCCUUUUUUAUAGGUGAAAGGGCCAUGUGGGUAGUACUGGGAAAUAACUCUGUCAAGAUGGUAAAUUGAAAGCAGUGCCAUACCUCUGGGGCAUCGUGUUUUGUAAGAUCAAAGAGUGGUGAUUUCUUAUGUCCUCAUGGAAAAUCUUCUUAGGGCUACUGCAAAGUUUGUAAUGUAUGUUUCUAGUUUGUAAGGAGGGGACAGGUUUCAGUGUAUGCAUGCAGGCAUGCAUGUGUAUGUGAAAGUCAGUAGACAACUUUGGAUGCUGGUCCUCAGGACUUUCACUUUUGUUUGAGAGAGGGUCUCUCUUAUUGAUCUGGGACAUCCUCCUUCCCUCCUUGUUUGGUCACAGCGAGUCUCCCCUGCUCCCUUUCUUUCUCCAGAUUAGGCCAUGCCCCUACUGUAGCUCUUCUGCAUGGGUAGUUGAUGAGCAAGCCUGCUGUGGCCUAAUAGUGCCCCACUCCAUCUUCUGUAAGUGCAGUCCCACCCCCAUACCCAAACAAAAGACCACCUUGAAAUGCCUUGUGAUACUGGCAUGGUAGGCUUGGUCACGUGGCAUGGAACUCCCCCAGCCCUUAUACAGGUACAGGAUUCCCUUUGUUUAUCUGGAAGUGGAGUGUCUCCCUUCAGGACGCUUGUGUUGCUAUCAGUGGCGAUUGUCUCUCCUAAUGCAGCUCCUAGUUAUAUCUACACACAGAUUAGUAGGAAGUACCAUGAUGUCAUACGCAAAGAACUGAGGAUCAGAGUUUAAGGACAUCUCCCUUGAAUGCAGGUGAAUAAAGAGGCAGAGCUCUGCAUCCUUGAGCUGUACAGGUAUGUUGUGUCAUGUCCCUUUUGAAAUCAGAGGCAGAUAGAAUGUGUUGAGCACAUUUUUUUUCUAGAUUUUUCAAGACACUGGAGCCUGGGCAGUCAGGCAAAGCUGAGGUACACACGCUUUGCUCAGGAAAGGGAAAGACACUUUCAGAGGUGUUCUUAUUUGAUUUCUUCCUAAUCCAGCAGUAUCUCAUUGUUGUUAGAACUCUUAGACUACAUGUCUCUUUUAUCCAACCACUAGCCCCUUCCUGGCCUGGUAACUGGAGAUACUUGCUCAACUCCAAAGUCUAGAAGUCAGACUUUCUGUGUCAGGAUCAGCUGGCAGCAACAGUCUAUUGUCAUGUGGUCAUGAGUGCCGCAGACCCUCUGGGUCCCUUUGUCUGCGUAGGACAGGUCUCUGGGUGCAUAUGGGCAAGGAGUCAGCGAAAUGACAGACAGAUGCACACAGGAGAUUGUGUAGAAUCUGAAUGUAACAUCAAGUCGAGCAUUGAACUUUUUAUACAGAAGAAUAACAAGAAACCUGGCGAGUCACAGUGACACAAUACAAAAGGAAUGUAUACAUCAAAAGAAGGCGGAGACCAGGCUGCUGCCACAAAGAAGGGAGCCAGGUGUAAAGCUAGUCUAUUGUGAAGCCCACCACCAGGGGUUCUGCUCUAGCAGACCUUCUCAUGAAUAAUGCAAUACCACAACCCGCCUAUUUCCUGGGCCCUGAUAAAUUCUUGUAUGAGUGUAACUUUUAAGUAUCUGUGGAGAAUCUCCAUUUGUCAGAAGAAUUCACCAACUUGCUUCUAACAUGCAAUGUAGCCUGCUAUACCUGGCUGUACUGAAGAUUUCUAUCUCAGUGGGAUUCCCUAACUCUUACAUGGUAAACCCACCUAUUAGCUAGGCCAUUGUGUAUGGGUGAGACUGGCUACUGCCUCAAGUAAACACUCUGCAGACCAGCCCUGAGCUAUUCCAGCUUGGUUCUUUGUAAUGCUUAAUUAAUUUCACUGUCUCUACUAGAAGUAAAUUUGAAUGUUACUGAAUAGGUAACCUUCUCACUGAAUUCCUACUGAAUUCCCAGUUUUUCGGCUUCAAGGGUUUUCUGGGACGUUGGAACACUGGUGAAGGCUUAGCUAUGUAAGAAUUCAAUCU
RNAcentral lists this long non-coding RNA (2002 nucleotides) under Mus musculus (house mouse). RNAcentral's name for it is "long non-coding RNA chr5:29810182-29812184". The record is from RNAcentral. Lineage: Eukaryota; Metazoa; Chordata; Mammalia; Rodentia; Muridae.